This 464-nucleotide ribosomal RNA is filed under the name Firmicutes bacterium enrichment culture clone E200. Its description in RNAcentral is "bacterial SSU rRNA". It matches the Rfam family "Bacterial small subunit ribosomal RNA", at positions 208 to 665 of the family's 1533-position model. The record is from RNAcentral. Lineage: Bacteria; Bacillati; Bacillota.
CAAUCUGUCACUUGCAGAUGGACCUGCGGCGCAUUAGCUAGUUGGUGAGGUAACGGCUCACCAAGGCGACGAUGCGUAGCCGACCUGAGAGGGUGAUCGGCCACACUGGGACUGAGACACGGCCCAGACUCCUACGGGAGGCAGCAGUAGGGAAUCUUCCGCAAUGGACGAAAGUCUGACGGAGCAACGCCGCGUGAGUGAUGAAGGUUUUCGGAUCGUAAAGCUCUGUUGCCAGGGAAGAACGCUUGGGAGAGUAACUGCUCUCAAGGUGACGGUACCUGAGAAGAAAGCCCCGGCUAACUACGUGCCAGCAGCCGCGGUAAUACGUAGGGGGCAAGCGUUGUCCGGAAUUAUUGGGCGUAAAGCGCGCGCAGGCGGUCAAUUAAGUCUGGUGUUUAAGGCUGGGGCUCAACCCCAGUUCGCACUGGAAACUGGUUGACUUGAGUGCAGAAGAGGAAAGUGGA